GCCAAAGGGGGCACCCAUCAAUCCACUGCCACUGCUCUUACACAAAAACGAGGCUGGAGAUGUAGGGGAUGGCUGUACUUGUGGCCUUGAGUAACUGUCUUGACUUUUGAAACCAUUUAACAACCUGACAUCAAAAUGCUGUACUGGAUCACCACUUUGAGGGAAGUGAGGGACAAGACGAUUAUGCGCAUCCACCUGAUGGAAGGAGUUGAGAUCCUCGUUACGAGAUCUGGUGUUUGCCUGGUCAAUCAUGGAAUUCGAGUGCGAUGAUCUUUUCAGUGGGGAAUCUUCAUCUUUGUUGAUGACCAUUAAGUCCUUCCCCAUCAGCCUGAGAACUGGAUUAGAAGCAGAUGGACUAAAAGACUCGGAUUCACGAGUUGGGAGCUUGAACUCAGAAUCAGCAGAAAUACCAAAUUGAGUAUGUGCCGUGGCCGAUGAUUUAGUGGGGUCAUUUGUUUCAGGUCCUGAACUCGAGUCACUUAGAGAAAAUGAGUUGCUCUUCAAUAUGAUAUUAUUACAUCUUGUGAGUGAAUCACGGCUCAACUGAUUCUCACUCGCAGGAAAAGGGGAAAGGGCGAUGGCUCGUCGCUGUAACAGCUGUGACUCUUCACGAUUCACAGCAAACCCUUGAGAUGUUCCUCCUUCUUUCCUGACACAA
RNAcentral lists this unclassified non-coding RNA (658 nucleotides) under Hevea brasiliensis (rubber tree). Lineage: Eukaryota; Viridiplantae; Streptophyta; Magnoliopsida; Malpighiales; Euphorbiaceae. The record is from RNAcentral.